Molecule: ribosomal RNA, 604 nt
Filed under: uncultured bacterium
Lineage: Bacteria
Description: bacterial SSU rRNA
Rfam family: Bacterial small subunit ribosomal RNA (bases 1-521)
Source: RNAcentral
CCUACGGGAGGCAGCAGUGGGGAAUAUUGGGCAAUGGACGCAAGUCUGACCCAGCGACGCCGCGUGCGGGAUGAAGGCCUUCGGGUUGUAAACCGCUUUCAGCAGGGAAGAAGCGAAAGUGACGGUACCUGCAAAAGAAGCACCGGCUAACUAUGUGCCAGCAGCCGCGGUAAUACAUAGGGUGCAAGCGUUGUCCGGAAUUAUUGGGCGUAAAGAGCUCGUAGGUGGUUAGUUACGUCGGGUGUGAAAAUCUGGGGCUCAACCCCAGACCUGCACUCGAUACGGGCUAGCUAGAGUUUGGUAGGGGAGACUGGAAUUCCUGGUGUAGCGGUGGAAUGCGCAGAUAUCAGGAGGAACACCAAUGGCGAAGGCAGGUCUCUGGGCCAAUACUGACACUGAGGAGCGAAAGCGUGGGGAGCGAACAGGAUUAGAUACCCUGGUAGUCCACGCCGUAAACGGUGGGCGCUAGUUGUGGGGACCUUCCACGGUCUCUGCGACGCNGCUACGCAUAGUCGCCCGCCGUCGGGAGGUACGAGUCGCGAGAGUAAACUACAAUAAGUAGUAGUUAGCGUGAGAGUGCCGACGGCGACGACGAGGGAGGAGG